Molecule: ribosomal RNA, 402 nt
Filed under: uncultured prokaryote
Description: bacterial SSU rRNA
Rfam family: Bacterial small subunit ribosomal RNA
Source: RNAcentral
UAGGGAAUAUUAGAAAUGGACGAAAGUCUGAUCUAGCAACACCGCGUGUGCGAAGAAGGCCUUCGGGUCGUAAAGCACUUUUUGGAAGGAAUAGGAAGGAAUGUACUUCCAGAAUAAGUCUCGGCUAACUACGUGCCAGCAGCCGCGGUAACACGUAGGAGGCAAACGUUAUCCGGAUUUACUGGGCGUAAAGCGCGUGUAGGUGGUACUGUAAGUAGGGCGUGAAAGCUCCUGGCUCAACUGGGAGAGGCCGUUCUAAACUACAGAACUAGAGGAUGGUAGAGGGAGGUGGAAUUCCAGGUGUAGCGGUGGAAUGCGCAGAUAUCCGGAGGAACACCAGUGGCGAAAGCGGCCUCCUGGACCAUUCCUGACACUCAGACGCGAAAGCUAGGGUAGCAAACA